This is an RNA transcript of Thunnus maccoyii (southern bluefin tuna), 2383 nucleotides long. It is a transcript of the gene named chaetoglobosin A biosynthesis cluster protein C-like, with no coding region annotated. NCBI's taxonomy places the organism in Eukaryota, Metazoa, Chordata, Actinopteri, Scombriformes, Scombridae. The transcript is spliced from 2 exons. The record is from RefSeq and is a predicted model, not a curated record.
CAUUAGCCUAAGCUAAUGUGUGUACAUUAGCCUAAGCUAAUGUACAUUAGCCUAGGCUAAAGUGUGUACAUUAGCCUAAGCUAAUGUGUGUACAUAAGCCUAGGCUAAAGUGUGUACAUUAGCCUAAGCUAAUGUGUGUACAUUAGCCAUGUCACACAUUUUGCCUCGCACAGAUACACAAUAUGCUAGGCUAAUGUGCAUUAGCCUAGGCUAAUGAAGGUAAUAAAAGUUGAUCAGAGUUUAUUCAUUCAUGCUAGCUCUGUUCACUUGCUAUCUCUGAACAUUUUAGUAGCCUAAAAUUAACAUUUUGUAAAACUAUUUAUUAUAGACAUGGUACCAAGGAGAGAGACAGGGAAGAAAAGACAGGGAGAGAAUGUCAAGGUAAAAUACAAUCAGUGGAGAGAGGACAGGAUGGAGGGUGCUAUUAAAGAAUAUAGGGAGACAGUGGAGGCAGGGCAGAAUCCCAAACUAAGAUUCUUGGCAAGGGCAUGGAACAUGCCAAAGUCAAAUUUGGAAAGACGGGUCAAUGGGAAGAUCAGUGGCUCCAAACAUGCCUCUGGCAGGAAACCCUACAUGUCAGAGGCAGCAGAAAAAGAAGUUUCCAGCAUAGUAAAAAUGCUAUCUCAUUGUGGUUUCCCCUCGGGCAAGAAAGAUAUUCAAAAGCUUGCUUUUAGCUUUGCCAAAGCUAAUGGCAUUAAAUGCUUUUUGGAAGCUAAGGGUUCAGCUGGUUACCACUGGUUCAACAAUUUCAUGAAACGUCACAAAGAACUGAAGAUCAAAAAACCUGAAGCACUGUCUGCAGCAAGGGCUGCAGGCCUGAACCCAGUGGUGGUGGGAAAAUGGUUUGAGGAGUAUGAAGCCCUGCUCACAGAGCUAAACAUUGUGGAUGUUCCCUCACAUCUGUGGAACUGCGACGAAUCAGGACUACAAGACCAGUUCUGCUCCACACGGGUAGUUGGGGAAGUGGGGAAACAGUGUGUGGAAAUAACGGCUGGGGAGAAAGGAGAAACCACAACAGUGCUGGCAGCAUUCAAUGCUGUGGGCCAGUACAGUCGCACACUUGUAAUUUUCAAAGGAAAACGACUGAGGAUGGAUUGCCCAAGUCAUGUGAUUGCCAGUGUCUCAGAGAAUGGCUGGAUAAACAGCGAGCUCUUCGUUGAGUGGGGUAAGCUGUUUGUGCAGCAGCUGCCGAAGGACUACUCGACGGCCACAGCAGCCAUGUCUAUAACAUGCCUUUCAUCCAGCUGAUGAAGGACAACAAUGUUCACGUCAUGUGCUAUUCAUCCCACACGACACAUGUCCUGCAGCCAGCUGACAAGGCACUUUUUAAGAGGAAAUUGGUAUGAGGAAGGGAGAAGGUGGACCAGAGAGAGAGCAGGACUCAAGCUGCCAAAAAUGGAGUUCUUCUCCCUUUUCAACAAGGCAUGGCAGAAGACUGCCACAGUUGAGAACGCCCAGGCUGGCUUCAGGGGAACGGGAAUGUUUCCCCUGAACAAAAACAUUGUCCCUGCUGAGGUCUAUGCUCCAAGUACCACCACGGAGAGAGCCGUGCCACUGCCACCCACUGUAGUACCCGCCCUGCCACCCUCACCCGCUGUGCCACCCACAGACGCCAUGCCACCCUCACAUACUGAGAUGACUUUGAGCAUGGAAGAUCUGGGUGCAGAGGAAAUCAUCAUGUCUCCACUUGAUGAUACCUCCUUCCUCUGCUUUACCCCAAUGCCAGAGGACCCAACCACCCAAAAGGAUGAUGAGCAGCCAUCAACCUCAACGGCCAAGCCAGUGACAUUCAUUGACCUGAUUCCCAUUCCAAAGAGAGAGAGAGGGAUCCAAAAGAGGGCUAAACCCCCCAGCUAUCGACUUACCAGCACAAGAAGCCAACAAAAACCAAGAAGCCAACAAAGGCUAAGCAAGCAGCCAGCCAAGCAGAAAGCCAAACCUGCAGCAGCCACCCCUGUGAGGUCUGUAGGAAAACGUAUGGGGGUGACAGAGGAGUGGAUUAGCUGUCAACAGUGCCAUUGCUGGUUCCACGAGAGCUGUGGGGAAGACUAUGGCAUAAUGGAAGAUGAGGGGUUUGUCUGCAAAGAGUGUGUAUAAUUUCACAGUAGCAGUAGGCUACGCACAGUAGGCCUAUGAAUGGUUUCAUAACCAGUAUUCUGGCUUGUUUCACUGGGAAGUUCAGCCCUUUUAAGUUUUAACAAUUAAAAUUAAAACCCAAAUAACAUAGUGGGAUGAAAUAUGAAACAUUUAAGAGUUAUGUUAAGGUUUAAGGUUAAAUCAUUUUUUAAUUAUUUUUGUAUUCAUACAACACCUGAUUCCCUAUUUUACUCUGUUCAGCCCUUCUAUUACUAUGUUCAAUUGUACUAUAUACUAUAUGUUCAAA